This 343-nucleotide unclassified non-coding RNA is filed under the name plant metagenome. RNAcentral's name for it is "partial contains small subunit ribosomal RNA, internal transcribed spacer 1, and 5.8S ribosomal RNA". The record is from RNAcentral.
UUUCCGGAGGUGAACCUGCGGAAGGAUCAUUAUCGAAAAGCAAUCCGGGGGGGAGGCGACCGAGCGAAGUUUGGUAGAUCGUAGGGAUUGUCGCUGGCCUUUGGAAACGAAGGCAUGUGCACGUUCCGAGUUCUCCUUAGUCCUCCUUUGCCUUUCCUUUGGAAAACCCUUUCUUCAUACCCGUGCACCCAUUGUAGGUCUCCGCGAGGGGAUCUACGUCUUCACAUAAACACUACGUAUGUCUAGGAAUGUAUCUAAAAGCGUCGGACGGCUUGGCUUCGUGCCCGGUCGGCGACGGUAAAGAACCAUAAUACAACUUUCAGCAACGGAUCUCUUGGCUCUC